AACCCUGACUCCCCGGGUCAGUCCACUUCUGCCAGGCAAACACAGACAGUUUCUAGUUGCAAGAUAUCCCCCAUGGCAGAGAAAAAAAAAAGUUUCUUCUGGGAUGCAGACAAUCCAGGAAUCAGUGAUAAUCCACUGACCUUUCUAGGAAGUAAGAGCAAAGAACAAACAGGUUAGAUUCUGAGAAGCUGUUUCUAAGUUUGAUGGUUUUUUUUUUCCUAAGCCUGAGGCACUGAGAAGGGUUCAAGCUUGUAUUCUCCAGAUGCAAGAUUUACUGUUACAGCACACUGAAGUCCUGAGCCCUCCGCCACCCGCAAGGCCUUCCUCGGAGACAGGGACCUAUCCAGAGAUGUCUCUGUCACUGUCAGGAUGCGCUGCAAGUGGACAAAGGGUUUCCUUCGUGUUGACCCUAAGAAGACCUCGACUUGAUCAAGGAAGAACUGAGCAUGGCUUGCAGUAGAGACAGUCACACACAGCUUCCCAUGAAUAGGUGUGGGCCUGAUCAUCUUAGCACCUUCUCUAGCCUUCAAGAAGCUCUCAAAAUCAGGGCCAUCUUGGUAUUUCACUAGCUGCUUCUUUCUUUUUUUGAUAUUUUAAGAGACAGGGACUUGCUAUGUUGCCCAGGUUGGACUUGUAUUCCUGGGCUCAAGCCAUUAUCCUGCCCCAGGGCUCCCAAGUAGCUGGGACUACAGGCCUGUGCCACCUCACCCACCCUCGCUGUUUAUUUCAAUGAACUGCAGGUUGAUGAUGAUCAAUCUUCUUUCCUAAUCUCCUGGUUGAAAUUAGGGAUAUUCAGAUUUUUUUGAAGUGGAGACUAUCAGGGUGUUAGAAGACCUAGUUCUGAACCUGCUCUCUGCUAACUUACCAUACGACUUUAGGCAAGUUGCUGCCCCACUAAGAACUUCAGUCUUAUCUGUGAAAUCAAGGGACUGGACUAAGUGGUCUCCGAGAUCCCCUCCAGCUGAAACCAUCUCCUGUACUGUCCACUAUUAUAGCAAAUAACCACACAUGGCUGAUUAAAUCUAAAUUAAUGAAAUAAAAGUCAGAAUGUAGUUCCUCAAUCUCACUAAUCAUAUGUCAAGGGCUUUAAUAGCCAUGUGUGGCCAGUGGCUGCCAGGUUGAACAGUGUAGUUCUCCUGCUCUCAUUUUAUUGAUGAUCAUGGUUUCAUAACAAAACCUGCCAGUUGAAGACCACUUUCACGUGUAUGGUGCAUUUUAAUACACGCUUACAUUUAACUACCCAAAAUAGGCAAGAGAGAUAUUCUAAUAUCUGCCUUAUCAGAUGAGGACACUAACUCAAAGAGUAAAUUACUUGCUAUAGGGUCAUACCACUAAUGACUAAAUGUAGUUUCCAAGCCCAGGACUCUCUAACACAUGGUACAAAGUCAUGACGAGAAGACAUGUGCCCCCUGGCCAAAACUAUUCAACCCAUGGUAGCACCAGAACUGAGAUCCAGGGAUUAAGGGCUGAUCUGGAGACCCUGUGCCUUGGUGUAGACCUUAGCUCAGCACAUCCUAGCUGUGUGACCAUGGGCAAGUUAUUUAAUAUCUCUGGGCUCCUUUCUAGUCCUCUGUUAAAUGGGAAUGACCACAGGAUCCACUGCUUAUGAGAACUGCACAAGUAGAUGCAAAUAAAAUGCUUUGCAUGGGA
Long non-coding RNA from Homo sapiens (human), 1650 nucleotides. NCBI's taxonomy places the organism in Eukaryota, Metazoa, Chordata, Mammalia, Primates, Hominidae. The record is from Ensembl.